UGUGCGAUGAGGUCUCUCUAGGGUGUGGU
This 29-nucleotide non-coding RNA is filed under the name Mus musculus (house mouse). The record is from RNAcentral. Lineage: Eukaryota; Metazoa; Chordata; Mammalia; Rodentia; Muridae.